Molecule: ribosomal RNA, 441 nt
Filed under: uncultured bacterium
Lineage: Bacteria
Description: partial 16S ribosomal RNA
Rfam family: Bacterial small subunit ribosomal RNA
Source: RNAcentral
CUACGGGUGGCUGCAGUGGGGAAUAUUGGGCAAUGGGCGCAAGCCUGACCCAGCAACGCCGCGUGAGGGAAGAAGGUUUUCGGAUUGUAAACCUCUGUCCUUGGGGACGAAGAAGUGACGGUACCCAAGGAGGAAGCUCCGGCUAACUACGUGCCAGCAGCCGCGGUAAUACGUAGGGAGCAAGCGCUGUCCGGAAUUACUGGGCGUAAGGGGUGCGUAGGCGGCAUAUUAAGUCAGGUGUGAAAUACUCGGGCUCAACCCGGGGGCUGCAUUUGGAACUGAUAUGCUUGAGUGUGAGAGAGGAAAGUGGAAUUCCUAGUGUAGCGGUGGAAUGCGUAGAUAUUAGGAGGAACACCAGUGGCGAAGGCGACUUUCUGGCUCAUAACUGACGCUGAGGCACGAAAGCGUGGGGAGCAAACAGGAUUAGAUACCCCAGUAGUC